GAUCUUCUCCUUCAUGGGAGAUGAUUGAAAGAUGGUUUCGGCUAUCACUUACAGAUGGGCCCGCGGUGCAUUAGCUAGUUGGUGAGGUAACGGCUCACCAAGGCAACGAUGCAUAGCCGACCUGAGAGGGUGAUCGGCCACACUGGGACUGAGACACGGCCCAGACUCCUACGGGAGGCAGCAGUAGGGAAUACUUCCGCAAUGGACGAAAGUCUGACGGAGCAACGGGGGCCCGCGUGAGUGAUGAAGGCUUUCGGGUCGUAAAACUCUGUUGUUAGGGAAGAACAAGUACAAGAGUAACUGCUUGUACCUUGACGGUACCUAACCAGAAAGCCACGGCUAACUACGUGCCAGCAGCCGCGGUAAUACGUAGGUGGCAUCAGCGUGUAUCCGGAAUUAUUGGGCGUAAAGCGCGCGACAGGCGGUUUCUUAAGUCUGAUGUGAAAGCCCACGGCUCAACCGUGGAGGGUCAUUGGAAACUGGGGAACUUGAGUGCAGAAGAGAAAAGCGGAAUUCCACGUGUAGCGUGUGAAAUGCGCUAGAGAUGUGGAGGAACACCAGUGGCGAAGGCGGCUUUUUGGUCUGUAACUGACGCU
Molecule: ribosomal RNA, 596 nt
Filed under: Priestia megaterium
Lineage: Bacteria; Bacillati; Bacillota; Bacilli; Caryophanales; Bacillaceae
Description: bacterial SSU rRNA
Rfam family: Bacterial small subunit ribosomal RNA
Source: RNAcentral